CCGGUGAUUGCACGAGACAUAGACAGUAUUCUAUUUCGGCCCUGGGCUUGGAGCUUAAUUUUAUUUUCUAAGGCAUGUUGUCGAAUUGCGGAACUGCCACUGCAAAAUCUACCCACAUAGCACAUGCGGCCGUAAAUGAAAACUUUUCGUAUCCUUUUCUUCCGAAAGAUGUGCUUUUGAAACGGGACUUAGAAAGCCCAGUCCAUACCUUCGCUUUGGCAACAAAAAGUGAUUAAAAUUUGCUCGCCCAAAAGUGUUACAAAGACCAAGGAGAUCGAAUGUGGCAGAAGUUGUGACUACACACAUUCCAGUCGAGACGUAUGGACCAACGAAGCACCCGCGCGGAGCGGCAUGGCACGGCGUCUCAAACAGGCUGAUGCCCAGCCGGGCGCCGAUACGCGCAUACUCGCUGCCGCGCCUACCACCCCAUCCCCGCAUUCAUAAUUGGACCCUUGAACUGGGGUUGCAUGUGUUGCUGACUCGCACCCGCAAGCAACAACAGUCAGCGUCAGUUUCGUGCUUGCUUCCUGAUCGUUCUCAUUCCUCAGGAGGGGAAAACGGCCACGAUGUGCGUCAAAUACAAAUGAUGAUGUCGCAUGAACUUGAGCUUUGCAAUCAACCCGCUGCUUGCAUGUCAAUGUAAUCGUUGUCGGGGACCAAAACCACACUCCAUUUUACGGCCCGCCGUGCUGUAGCUUCUGCAGGCGUUCUAUGGGGUGGCGUUUCCCUCGGCGGAUCAAGUCACUGCGUCGCCCCAUCACG
RNAcentral lists this long non-coding RNA (762 nucleotides) under Volvox carteri. Its description in RNAcentral is "long non-coding RNA (VCAR_LNC000059)". Lineage: Eukaryota; Viridiplantae; Chlorophyta; Chlorophyceae; Chlamydomonadales; Volvocaceae. The record is from RNAcentral.